AUUGAACGCUGGCGGCAGGCUUAACCCAUGCAAGUCGCGCGAGCGGCGGACGGGUGAGUAAUGUAUGGGGAUCUGCCUGAUGUAGGGGGAUAACUACUGGAAACGGUAGCUACUACCGCAUACCAUCAGAUGUGCCCAUAUGGGAUUAGCUAGUAGGUGGGGUAACGGCUCACCUUGGCGACGAUCCCUAGCUGGUCUGAGAGGAUGAUCAGCAAAAGUGGAACGGAGACACGGCCCAGACUCCUACGGGAGGCAGCAGUGGGGAAUAUUGCACAAUGGGCGCAAGCCUGAUGCAGCCAUGCCGCGUGUGUGAAGAAGGCCUUCGGGUUGUAAAGUACUUUCAGUCGGGAGGCGUUACCGACAGAAGAAGCAACGGCUAAAUACGGGCCAGCAGCCGCGGUAAUUC
This 406-nucleotide ribosomal RNA is filed under the name uncultured bacterium. RNAcentral's name for it is "partial 16S ribosomal RNA". It matches the Rfam family "Bacterial small subunit ribosomal RNA", at positions 30 to 526 of the family's 1533-position model. The record is from RNAcentral.